AGUAAGGGGACAUGCACCCCAAGGGCCUCCACUUGGCCUGACCUUGCUGCAGGGGCUCUCUGUCCCCAGGAACAGUGGAGAUGGCAAGCUUAUCGAGACCCUCUCUGCCCAGCUGCCUCUGCUCCUUCCUCCUCCUCCUCCUCCAAGUGUCUUCCAGCUACGCAGGGCAGUUCAGAGUGAUAGGACCAAGACACCCUAUCCGGGCUCUGGUCGGGGAUGAAGUGGAAUUGCCGUGUCGCAUAUCUCCUGGGAAGAACGCUACAGGCAUGGAGGUGGGGUGGUACCGCCCCCCCUUCUCUAGGGUGGUUCAUCUCUACAGAAAUGGCAAGGACCAAGACGGAGAGCAGGCACCUGAAUAUCGGGGCCGAACAGAGCUGCUGAAAGAUGCUAUUGGUGAGGGAAAGGUGACUCUCAGGAUCCGGAAUGUAAGGUUCUCAGAUGAAGGAGGUUUCACCUGCUUCUUCCGAGAUCAUUCUUACCAAGAGGAGGCAGCAAUGGAAUUGAAAGUAGAAGGUGAGUAGUGCUAUAUAAUAUUAGGUAUUAACUGUUGGGUGGCCAAGAACAAUUAUUCUCUCAACUGAGAUGAGAUCCCUCAACCCAAACAUCUCACUCCUGGGAAUGAAUUCCAUACAAAUGUACACGUAAAUAAACAGAAACUCAUGCUUAGGGAUGUCUGUUGCAUCAUUAUUCAGAGUAGCAAGGAAAUUGGGAUCAAAAUCAAUGCCUUUGAGUAGGUAAGUGACUGAAUAAACAUGGUAGCCAUACUGUGA
RNAcentral lists this small RNA (770 nucleotides) under Pongo abelii (Sumatran orangutan). RNAcentral describes it as "retained intron". The record is from RNAcentral. Lineage: Eukaryota; Metazoa; Chordata; Mammalia; Primates; Hominidae.